AUUUAUAUAGUUUAAAUAAAACAUUAUAUUUUCACUGUAAAGAUAAAAUUAUUUUUUUAUAAAUU
This 65-nucleotide transfer RNA is filed under the name Epicypta sp. WQY004. Its description in RNAcentral is "tRNA-Glu". The record is from RNAcentral. Lineage: Eukaryota; Metazoa; Arthropoda; Insecta; Diptera; Mycetophilidae.